UGGGGGAUAUUGCACAAUGGGCGAAAGCCUGAUGCAGCGACGCCGCGUGGUGGAUGAAGGCUUUCGGGUUGUAAACCUCUUUCGCUAUCGAACAAGGCCCGCUUAGGGUGGGUUGAGGGUAGGUGGAGAAGAAGCGCCGGCUAACUACGUGCCAGCAGCCGCGGUAAUACGUAGGGCGCGAGCGUUGUCCGGAAUUAUUGGGCGUAAAGGGCUUGUAGGCGGCUUGUUGCGCCUGCUGUGAAAACGCGGGGCUUAACUUCGCGCGUGCAGUGGGUACGGGCAGGCUUGAGUGUGGUAGGGGUGACUGGAAUUCCAGGUGUAGCGGUGGAAUGCGCAGAUAUCUGGAGGAACACCGAUGGCGAAGGCAGGUCACUGGGCCAUUACUGACGCUGAGGAGCGAAAGCAUGGGUAGCGAACAGG
Molecule: ribosomal RNA, 420 nt
Filed under: bacterium
Lineage: Bacteria
Description: partial 16S ribosomal RNA
Rfam family: Bacterial small subunit ribosomal RNA
Source: RNAcentral